Molecule: ribosomal RNA, 258 nt
Filed under: uncultured bacterium
Lineage: Bacteria
Description: partial 16S ribosomal RNA
Rfam family: Bacterial small subunit ribosomal RNA
Source: RNAcentral
UACGGGGGGGAGCAAGCGUUGUUCGGAUUUACUGGGCGUAAAGGGCGCGUAGGCGGUUUGUUAAGCCAUGUGUGAAAUCCCUCGGCUCAACCGGGGAACGACGCAUGAAACUGGCAGCUAGAGUACCAAAGAAGGGGGGUGGGAAUUCCCGGUCGGUAGCGGUGAAAUGACGUAGAUAUCGGGAGGAACACCUGUGGCGAAGGCGGCCCCCUGGUUGGAUACUGACGCUGAUACGCGAAAGCGUGGGGAGCAAACAGG